This 223-nucleotide long non-coding RNA is filed under the name Linum usitatissimum (flax). RNAcentral's name for it is "long non-coding RNA (LUSI_LNC003175)". The record is from RNAcentral. Lineage: Eukaryota; Viridiplantae; Streptophyta; Magnoliopsida; Malpighiales; Linaceae.
UCACCCCCUUUCUAAUAAAGAGGAUCCAUACAAGAUCCAAGCAGGCUGCCUAACCGUAUAAACGACGUAAGAAGUUAGGAACAUUUUCAAUAUAAAUUUUUCCUGUAUUUGUUCUAUGAUAAAUAUGAGUCUGUUUUGUCCACUUUCUCCAAUCCCCCUCUAUAAAAAAAAGCAAGGCGAGCUUGCUUUCUUAUUCCUGUGUUCGAUCUCUUCCAUCUCUGCC